AAAAGGUGCAGUAUCUUUAUUUCCAGAAUAAAUAGCAGAAAAAUUCAACAAAUUCCCAUAGAAAUAGGGAUAAAGACCAACGUUCACAAGUUGGUUUUAACUACUCAACAACUAUGCGAGACUUAUUCAAGGAACUAAACAUGAAAAUGGAAAAUUAUUAACAUCAGAACAUAAAACUCCUAUCAGCUCCCUCCCUCUUAAAUUUCAGCCUAGUCCUCAAGGCUAAUAUCUGGGAAUUGAUUUUUAAGGAUUUCACGAUCUUCCCAAGUUGCUUCAGCUGGUGAUGAACCUUGCCAAUGCACCAAAACUUGCUGCCUCUUACCCCUCAUUCGUCUAUCCAGAAUUGCUGGUGGCAGAGAAAUUAAUUUCUCUUCAACUUGAUCCAUGACAGGAAGCUGUGUUAUGACUGAUUGAUCACCAACCUACUUCUUUAAUAAUGAAACAUGGAACACGAGAUGUAAUUUUGAGGACUCGGGCAAUUCCAACCUGUAAGCUACCUUACCAAUCCUUUGUAAUACCUUGAAAAGACCAUAGAACUUGGCAGAGAGUUUCAAAUUCUACCUCCUAGCUAACGAUAGUUGUUUAUAAGGCUGAAGUUUAAGAAAUACCCAAUCACCUUAUGAGAAUUCUCUUUCCUGGUGCCUUGAAUCAAAUAUUCGUUUCAUUCUGGCUUGUGCUUAUUUGAUGUUGUCCCGGGCAACCUGGAUAACUUGGUCACGAUUCUUGAGCUCAUCUUCCACUGUUGCUACUCUAGCUGUACCAGGAACAUAUGUCAAAAGAGAAGGAGGAGCCCUUCUAUAUACCACUUCAAAGGGAGUGCUUUUGACUGAUGAGUGCCAACUUGUGUUGUAGCAAAACUCUACCCAUGUCAACCAUUUAGUCCAUUGCUUAGGUUGCGAAUUUGUGAAAAGCAAUGAGGACAUGGUGGUUGAUGGUCAUUAAAUUUACAAGCUAACACCGACGAAAGGAACUUUACUUAAACUCGUACCUAAGGAAAAGAAAGGAGAAGUCCAGCAAGAACUCCAUCCACAAGUGAAGUCGAUUCUACAAAAAUUUAGUAAAGUACUUGCUGAACAACUAACAGGGUUACCUCCUGAGCGAGCAUGUGACCACAAAAUAUCAAUACAGCAUGGGUGCGGCCCAGUUUUAGGGAAGCCAUAUCAUUAUCCUUACUUUCAGAAAGCUGAAAUUGAGAGAAUGGUUAAGGAAAUGCUUUCCAUGGGUAUAAUCCAACACAGUAAUAGCCCCUAUUCUUUCCCAGUCAUAUUGGUAAAGAAACAGGACGGCUCAUGGAGGAUGUGUGUAGAUUAUUGGGCUUUGAAUCAGCUUACCAUUAAAGAUAAGUAUCCAAUUCCCAUAAUUGAUAAGCUCUUAGAUGAACUAAAUGGUGCACAAGUAUUUUCCAAGCUCGACCUGCGAUCUGGGUAUCACCAAGUUCGAAUGAGUCCGAAAGAUGUGGAAAAAACAGCAUUCAGAACUCAUCAAGGACACUACGAAUUCCUGGUAAUGCCCUUCGGUUUGACUAAUGCACCAUCAACUUUUCAAGCUCUUAUGAAUGAAGUCUUCUGUGAUUAUUUGAGAAAAUUUGUUUUAGUAUUUUUUGAUGAUAACCUUGCCAAUGCACCAAAACUUGCUGCCUCUUACCCCUCAUUCGUCUCUCCAGAAUUGCUUGUGGCAGAGGAAUUAAUUUGUCUUCAACUUGAUCCAUGACAGGAAGCUGUGUUAUGACUGAUUGAUCAACAACCUUCUUUUUUAAUAACGAAACAUGGAACACGGGAUGUAAUUUUGAGGACUUGGGCAAUUCUAACCUGUAAGCUACCUUACCAAUCCUUUGUAAUACCUUGAAAGGACAGUAGAACUUGGCAGAGAGUCUCAGAUUCUACCUCCUGGCUAACGAUAGUUGUUUAUAAGGCUGAAGUUUAAGAAAUACCCAAUCACCUUCUGAGAAUUCCCUUUCUUGGUGCCUUAAAUCAUAUAUUCGUUUCAUUAUAGCCUGUGCUUGUUUAAUGUUGUCCUGGGCAACCUGGAUAACUUGGUCAUGAUUCUUGAGCUCCUCUUCCACUGUUGCUACUCUAGCUGUACCAGGAACAUAUGUCAAAAGAGAAGGAGGAACCCUUCCAUAUACCACUUCAAAGGAAGUGCUUUUGACUAAUGAGUGCCAAUUUGUGUUGUAGCAAAACUCUGCCCAUGUCAACCAUUUAGUCCACUGCUUAGGUUGCGAAUUCAUGAAAAGCGCUGAGGACAUGGUGGUUGAUGGUAAUUAAAUUUACAAGCUAACACCGACGAAAGGAAUUUUACUUGAACUCGUAUCUAAGGAAAAGAAAGGUGAAGUCCAGCAAGAACUCCAUCCACUAGUGAAGUCAAUUCUACAAAAAUUUAGUAAAGUGCUUGCUGAACAACCAACAGGGUUACCUCCCGAGCGAGCAUGUGACCACAAAAUACCAAUACAGCAUGGGUGCGACCCAGUUUCAGGGAAGCCAUAUCAUUAUCCUUACUUUCAGAAAGCUGAAAUUGAGAGAAUGGUUAAGGAAAUGCUUUCCAUGGGUAUAAUCCGAUACAUAAACAGCCCCUAUUCUUCCCCAGUCAUAUUGGUAAAGAAACAGGACGGCUCAUGGAGGAUGUGUGUUGAUUAUCGGGCUUUGAAUCAGCUUACCAUUAAGGAUAAGUAUCCAAUUCCUAUAAUUGAUAAGCUCUUAGAUGAACUAAAUGGUGCACAGGUAUUUUCCAAGUUCGACCUGUGAUCUGGGUAUCACCAAGUUCGAAUGAGUUCAAAAGAUGUGGAAAAAACAGCAUUCAGAACUCAUCAAGGACACUACGAAUUCCAGGUAAUGCCCUUCGGUUUGACUAAUGCACCAUCAAAUUUUCAAGCUCUUAUGAAUGAAGUCUUCCGUGAUUAUUUGAGAAAAUUUGUUUUAGUAUUUUUUGAUGAUAACCUUGCCAAUGCACCAAAACUUGCUGCCUCUUACCCUUCAUUCGUCUCUCCAGAAUUGCUUGUGGCAGAGGAAUUAAUUUAUCUUCAACUUGAUCCAUGACAGGAAGCUGUGUUAUGAUUGAUUGAUCACCAACCUUCUUCUUUAAUAAUGAAACAUGGAACACGGGAUGUAAUUUUGAGGACUCGGGCAAUUCCAACCUGUAAGCUACCUUACCAAUCCUUUGUAAUACCUUGAAAGGACAAUAGAACUUGGCAGAGAGUUUCAGAUUCUGCCUCCUGGCUAACGAUAUUUGUUUAUAAGGCUGAAGUUUAAGAAAUACCUAAUCACCUUCUUAGAAUUCCCUUUCCUGGUGCCUUGAAUCAUAUAUUCAUUUCAUUCUGGCCUGUGCUUGUUUGAUGUUGCCCCGUGUAACCUGGAUAACUUGGUCACGAUUCUCAAGCUCUUCUUCCACUGCUGCUACUCUAGCUGUACCAGGAACAUAAGUCAAAAGAGAAGAAGGAGCCCUUCCAUAUACCACUUCAAAGGGAGUGCUUUUGACUGAUAAGUGCCAACUUGUGUUGUAGCAAAAUUCUGCCCAUGUCAACCAUUUAGUCCACCGCUUAGG
RNAcentral lists this long non-coding RNA (3537 nucleotides) under Olea europaea subsp. europaea. The record is from RNAcentral. Lineage: Eukaryota; Viridiplantae; Streptophyta; Magnoliopsida; Lamiales; Oleaceae.